RNAcentral lists this ribosomal RNA (197 nucleotides) under Rickettsiales bacterium. RNAcentral's name for it is "partial 23S ribosomal RNA". It matches the Rfam family "Bacterial large subunit ribosomal RNA", at positions 1 to 204 of the family's 2925-position model. Lineage: Bacteria; Pseudomonadati; Pseudomonadota; Alphaproteobacteria; Rickettsiales. The record is from RNAcentral.
AAAUAAAUUAUUAAGAGCACUUGAUGGAUGCCUUGGCGUUAAGAGGCGAUGAAGGACGUGGCAGGCUACGAUAAGCUGCGGGGAAUUGUCAACAGGUUUUGAUCCGCAGAUUUCCGAAUGGGGAAACCCAGCUAGUUAAGCUAGUUAUUGUAUAUUAAAUCAAUAUGCAAAGCAAACUUGGUGAACUGAAAUAUCUA